AGACGCACCCGCAUAGCAACAGCACCACAUAGACACCCACCCUCCUGCGUCCCAGUUUCCCUCCACGCAGCCAAAUUUUCUGCCAACUGCCAGUCGACAACAAACCAGAAAUAAACAAACAGACGAAAAACAAGGGCUGGUUCAAUUUUUGGGAGAAAAACUUAAAAAGAGAGGAAAAAGAUGGCUAAAGCAAAAGCUGCAGGAGCUGGCGGAGCUGCUAAGGCGAAACCCGCCAAGGUCAAGAAGCCAAAGGGCAAGGCGAAGGCCAAGAAGCCAAAGGCGAAGGUCGCCAAGAAGGCAAAGUCCCCGAAAGCACCCAAACCAAAGACCACCAAGAAGGCGGCGUCCUAAAAUGUGGAGAUCUCUACUUUCAAACUUUCGAGGCGCACUCUUAAUUACUUUUUCCAGUACAAAUAACAGAUUUUCUGUUCCAAAUUUCACCAAAUUUUAUUCCACGAGUGUCGCUUAGGUUAGGGGAGAAAAAUAAUAAUUAGAAUCUAAGCAGUGUUUCCCGAUAAUAAGUAGGUAGAAUUUUAUCCAGAUUUUUCGAGAAAUCAAAGUUUUUAAGCUUUACUGUCUUUUUAAAUGGAUUGUUUUGUAUCUGUAUUUACAAAAUUUGCUGUUUAAUUGCUAAAUUAUUUAGGGAGAAAGUGUAUCUAAUUGGUAUCUAGUUUUUAAGCUAAAUUCUAAAUUUUAUGGAUGUGUUUCUAAUCUGGAAGAAAAAUUGGCAUGGUUCGAUUCAUAAAUAAACUCUUUGUUUAGAAAAUCA
This is a long non-coding RNA of Folsomia candida, 769 nucleotides long. RefSeq lists it as uncharacterized. The transcript has 2 exons. The record is from RefSeq and is a predicted model, not a curated record. Lineage: Eukaryota; Metazoa; Arthropoda; Collembola; Entomobryomorpha; Isotomidae.